GAUGAACGCUGGCGGCGUGCCUAACACAUGCAAGUCGAACGGAGAUUUAACGCUGAUGAGGCUUCGGCGGAAUCUUGUUAAAUCUUAGUGGCGGACGGGUGAGUAACGCGUGGGCAACCUGCCUCGUACUGGGGGAUAACAGUUGGAAACGACUGUUAAUACCGCAUAAGCGCACGGUGUCGCAUGACACAGUGUGAAAAACUCCGGUGGUACGAGAUGGGCCCGCGUCAGAUUAGCCAGUUGGUGGGGUAACGGCCUACCAAAGCAACGAUCUGUAGCCGGACUGAGAGGUCGGACGGCCACAUUGGGACUGAGACACGGCCCAAACUCCUACGGGAGGCAGCAGUGGGGGAUAUUGCACAAUGGGCGAAAGCCUGAUGCAGCGACGCCGCGUGAGUGAAGAAGUAUUUCGGUAUGUAAAGCUCUAUCAGCAGGGAAGAAAGACUCGUAAGAGAGAUGACGGUAC
This 466-nucleotide ribosomal RNA is filed under the name bacterium VCD1015. RNAcentral describes it as "bacterial SSU rRNA". It matches the Rfam family "Bacterial small subunit ribosomal RNA", at positions 28 to 478 of the family's 1533-position model. The record is from RNAcentral.